This 221-nucleotide ribosomal RNA is filed under the name uncultured bacterium. RNAcentral describes it as "partial 16S ribosomal RNA". It matches the Rfam family "Bacterial small subunit ribosomal RNA", at positions 524 to 744 of the family's 1533-position model. The record is from RNAcentral.
UACGUAGGGUGCAAGCGUUAAUCGGAAUUACUGGGCGUAAAGCGUGCGCAGGCGGUUUUGUAAGUCUGACGUGAAAUCCCCGGGCUCAACCUGGGAAUUGCGUUGGAGACUGCAAGGCUAGAAUCUGGCAGAGGGGGGUAGAAUUCCACGUGUAGCAGUGAAAUGCGUAGAGAUGUGGAGGAACACCGAUGGCGAAGGCAGCCCCCUGGGUCAAGAUUGAC